GGUCUGGUGGUCUAGCGGUAUGAUUCUCGCUUAGGGUACACCCUAGUAGCAAUAUUGCCAUUAAAAAGCAUGCGAGAGGUCCCGGGUUCAAUCCCCGGCCAGACCC
This is a non-coding RNA of Bombardia bombarda, 106 nucleotides long. NCBI's taxonomy places the organism in Eukaryota, Fungi, Ascomycota, Sordariomycetes, Sordariales, Lasiosphaeriaceae. The record is from the annotation of a GenBank genome assembly.